UCUAACAUAACAAUUAUACACUAUGUCUCUCAGUAGAGCAGUAUUACAUCGAAAAGUCUUGUUGAAUACUCUUGCAUUCCUUUCCAACCAGAUGUUCUAGGGGUGCCUCUAACAUUACAAUUGUACACUAUGUCUCUCAGUAGAGCAGUAUUACAUCGAAAGGUCUUGUUGAAUACUCUUGCAUUCCUUUCCAGCCAGAUAGCAUAUGCAACUUCAGCUGUGACCAUUUUAAAAAUGGCUGCACGACAUGUUCGUCCCUUGGCUUUGGUAAUCAACCAUUGUACUUUCUGGUUCCAACUAAUACUAGGUAGGUAUUGUUCCUGCAGCCAAUUCAUUACUCUUCCCCAUAGAUCCACAGCGACAGGGCAGUUCGUGAGCAGAUGAUCUCUUGUUUCAGGUUGGAUUUGGUAUAGAGUGCAUUGUUG
Molecule: long non-coding RNA, 425 nt
Filed under: Nicotiana benthamiana
Lineage: Eukaryota; Viridiplantae; Streptophyta; Magnoliopsida; Solanales; Solanaceae
Description: long non-coding RNA (NBEN_LNC034600)
Source: RNAcentral